This 325-nucleotide long non-coding RNA is filed under the name Crocodylus porosus (Australian saltwater crocodile). RNAcentral describes it as "lncRNA (ENSCPRG00005008128.1)". The record is from RNAcentral. Lineage: Eukaryota; Metazoa; Chordata; Crocodylia; Crocodylidae.
GAAGGUCAUGGAAGAAUGUCACUGCCUCCUGCUCUGAUCUCUCUACUGAACUUCCCAACAGGGCCCGGAGGGCUACCAGGGGCUGGCAUUGGCGGUGUUGGUGGCCUGGUGCCAGGUGGUGUCGGAGGUCUGGUGCCUGGUGUUGGAGGCAUAGGCGGCAUUGGAGGUGUCGGAGGUCAGGCAGCUGCAGCUGCAGCUGCCAAAGCAGCUGCCAAGGCCGCCAAAUACGGCAUAGGUGGAGUGGGAGGCCUGGCACCUGGUGGUAUUGGAGGUCUGGCACCUGGUGGUGUGGGGGCCUUGGCUCCAGGAGUUGGUGGAGUUGGAG